This 86-nucleotide microRNA precursor is filed under the name Loxodonta africana (African savanna elephant). RNAcentral describes it as "miRNA (ENSLAFG00000031903.1)". Lineage: Eukaryota; Metazoa; Chordata; Mammalia; Proboscidea; Elephantidae. The record is from RNAcentral.
UGGGACGACUAACCAUCCUGGUUUGCCUGGGACUGAGUGGUUUCCCAGGUGCUCAAGCCUGUACAGUCCCAGACAAACAGGGAUAG